RNAcentral lists this ribosomal RNA (301 nucleotides) under uncultured bacterium. RNAcentral describes it as "partial 16S ribosomal RNA". It matches the Rfam family "Bacterial small subunit ribosomal RNA", at positions 509 to 809 of the family's 1533-position model. The record is from RNAcentral.
CAGUAGCCGCGGGAAUACGUAGGGUGCGAGCGUUAAUCGGAAUUACUGGGCGUAAAGCGUGCGCAGGCGGUUGUGUAAGACAGGUGUGAAAUCCCCGGGCUUAACCUGGGAAUUGCGCUUGUGACUGCACAGCUAGAGUAUGGCAGAGGGGGGUGGAAUUCCACGUGUAGCAGUGAAAUGCGUAGAGAUGUGGAGGAACACCGAUGGCGAAGGCAGCCCCCUGGGCCAAUACUGACGCUCAUGCACGAAAGCGUGGGGAGCAAACAGGAUUAGAUACCCCUGUAGUCCCUGUCUCUUAUAA